This 66-nucleotide transfer RNA is filed under the name Geomys pinetis (southeastern pocket gopher). Its description in RNAcentral is "tRNA-Val". It matches the Rfam family "tRNA". From Rfam's summary of the family: Transfer RNA (tRNA) molecules are approximately 80 nucleotides in length. Their secondary structure includes four short double-helical elements and three loops (D, anti-codon, and T loops). Further hydrogen bonds mediate the characteristic L-shaped molecular structure. tRNAs have two regions of fundamental functional importance: the anti-codon, which is responsible for specific mRNA codon recognition, and the 3' end, to which the tRNAs corresponding amino acid is attached (by aminoacyl-tRNA synthetases). tRNAs cope with the degeneracy of the genetic code in two manners: having more than one tRNA (with a specific anti-codon) for a particular amino acid; and 'wobble' base-pairing, i.e. permitting non-standard base-pairing at the 3rd anti-codon position. The record is from RNAcentral. Lineage: Eukaryota; Metazoa; Chordata; Mammalia; Rodentia; Geomyidae.
CAAAAUGUAGCUUAUGCCAAAGCAUCUGACUUACACUCAGAAGAAUUCAUAUAAUGAACGUUUUGA